Alligator sinensis (Chinese alligator) is the source of this 544-nucleotide long non-coding RNA. RefSeq lists it as uncharacterized. The transcript is spliced from 4 exons. The record is from RefSeq and is a predicted model, not a curated record. NCBI's taxonomy places the organism in Eukaryota, Metazoa, Chordata, Crocodylia, Alligatoridae.
AUAAGUGCUCUUAAAUCCUACUUGUAUUUUCCUCUGAUACUCCUUUCUUAAUUCCCCUGAAAAUGCUACUCUCCCUAUCCCAAACACAUGCUUCACAGCUUCUCUCACAAUAGUUCUAGUAGCUUUGGGAUUCCUUCUUUGUUGAGAUAUGCCUGAACACGUGAAUGCAGUAAUUUUAUAAGGGAUGAUGCACCCAGUAAGAAAGACCUUGACAACUUCAAAUAGCCUCCAAAUGGAAUUACUUGAGCACUGAAAACAAAUGUGAAAGUUAAGACCAGUAUGUCAACAAAGGCUUCACCACCAAGAGAAGUGGCCUGGCUAUUUUUCUCUCUAUGAUGAAUGCCAAAAAUGAUGUGGAGAUCAUCCACUUCUAAGAAAAGCCAAGCACUGCCUACUCUACAAUCUUCUAUAUAGAAAGCUCUGCUGGAAAAAACAGAACACUCCAGUGAAGCACCUGAAUGAAUAAAAGGGGUUAAGAUUGAUAGGACAUGGACAAAGACAUGGACAAGGAAAUAAAUUAAUAUGAUGAAGUGAAAUCAUUGUU